CUGUAGAGAUAUGGUUUCCCCUUCGGGGGCAACGGUGACAGGUGGUGCAUGGUUGUCGUCAGUUCGUGUCGUGAGAUGUUGGGUUAAGUCCCGCAACGAGCGCAACCCUUGAUCUUAGUUGCCAUCAUUUAGUUGGGCACUUUAAGGUGACUGCCGGUGACAAACCGGAGGAAGGUGGGGAUGACGUCAAAUCAUCAUGCCCCUUAUGACCUGGGCUACACACGUGCUACAAUGGACGAUACAAACGGUUGCCAACUCGCGAGAGGGAGCUAAUCCGAUAAAGUCGUUCUCAGUUCGGAUUGUAGGCUGCAACUCGCCUACAUGAAGCCGGAAUCGUUAGUAAUCGCGGAUCAGCAUGCCGCGGUGAAUACGUUCCCGGGCCUUGUACACACCGCCCGUCACACCACGAGAGUUUGUAACACCCGAAGUCGGUGAGGUAACCU
Molecule: ribosomal RNA, 443 nt
Filed under: Bacillus sp. SKC_PK99
Lineage: Bacteria; Bacillati; Bacillota; Bacilli; Caryophanales; Bacillaceae
Description: bacterial SSU rRNA
Rfam family: Bacterial small subunit ribosomal RNA
Source: RNAcentral